This 468-nucleotide ribosomal RNA is filed under the name uncultured bacterium. RNAcentral describes it as "partial 16S ribosomal RNA". It matches the Rfam family "Bacterial small subunit ribosomal RNA", at positions 28 to 507 of the family's 1533-position model. The record is from RNAcentral.
GACGAACGCUGGCGGCGUGCUUAACACAUGCAAGUCGAACGGAAAGGCCCUGCUUUUGUUGGGUGCUCGAGUGGGGAACGGGUGAGUAACACGUGAGUAACCUGCCCUUGACUUUGGGAUAACUUCACGAAACUGGGGCUAAUACCGGAUAGGAGCUCCUGCUGCAUGGUGGGGGUUGGAAAGUUUCGGCGGUUGUGGAUGGACUCGCGGCUUAUCAGCUUGUUGGUGGGGUAGUGGCUUACCAAGGCUUUGACGGGUAGCCGGCCUGAGAGGGUGACCGGCGACAUGGGGACUGAGAGACGGCCCAGACUCCUACGGGAGGCAGCGGUGGGGAAUAUUGCACAAUGGGCGGAAGCCUGAUGCAGCAACGCCGCGUGCGGGAUGACGGCCUUCGGGUUGUAAACAGCUGUCGCCUGUGACGAAGCGUGAGUGACGGUAAUGGGUAAAGAAGCACCGGCUAACUACGUG